RNAcentral lists this long non-coding RNA (228 nucleotides) under Lathyrus oleraceus (garden pea). RNAcentral describes it as "Pisum sativum (pea) long non-coding RNA (PSAT_LNC016330)". The record is from RNAcentral. Lineage: Eukaryota; Viridiplantae; Streptophyta; Magnoliopsida; Fabales; Fabaceae.
UGAAGAGGGAAGAAGGAGGAGUGGAUUUUGCUUAAUGGUUUAUGCAGUUUAGCAGCAGAAGAUUCAAGGGUGAAAUUUGUUCAGUUAUGAUGGAGUUUUGAAGUGAGGUUAUGGGUCGACGAAGGUGAGGUAAGGAGGCGUGAAGUAUGGUGAGCAGUGGCCAGAUUUGGCCGAAGUGGUGGUGAUUUGAAAUUGUUCAUAGUUGAUGAUGAUGUUGACGAAGUGGUG